CCUACGGGCGGCAGCAGUGGGGAAUAUUGCACAAUGGGCGCAAGCCUGAUGCAGCCAUGCCGCGUGUGUGAAGAAGGCCUUCGGGUUGUAAAGCACUUUCAGCGGGGAGGAAGGCGGUGAGGUUAAUAACCUCAUUGAUUGACGUUACCCGCAGAAGAAGCACCGGCUAACUCCGUGCCAGCAGCCGCGGUAAUACGGAGGGUGCAAGCGUUAAUCGGAAUUACUGGGCGUAAAGCGCACGCAGGCGGUCUGUCAAGUCGGAUGUGAAAUCCCCGGGCUCAACCUGGGAACUGCAUUCGAAACUGGCAGGCUAGAGUCUUGUAGAGGGGGGUAGAAUUCCAGGUGUAGCGGUGAAAUGCGUAGAGAUCUGGAGGAAUACCGGUGGCGAAGGCGGCCCCCUGGACAAAGACUGACGCUCAGGUGCGAAAGCGUGGGGAGCAAACAGGAUUAGAUACCCGGGUAGUC
Molecule: ribosomal RNA, 465 nt
Filed under: uncultured Klebsiella sp.
Lineage: Bacteria; Pseudomonadati; Pseudomonadota; Gammaproteobacteria; Enterobacterales; Enterobacteriaceae
Description: bacterial SSU rRNA
Rfam family: Bacterial small subunit ribosomal RNA
Source: RNAcentral